AUUCCAGCUCCAAUAGCGUAUAUUAAAGUUGUUGCAGUUAAAAAGCUCGUAGUUGAACUUCGGAACCGGUCGAUUGGUCCGUCAUCUGGAUUGUGUACUGAUCGAUCUGUUCUUCUUCGCGAAGACCGCGUGUGCCCUUAACUGGGUGUGCACGGGAUUCACGACGUUUACUUUGAAAAAAUUAGAGUGUUCAAAGCAGGCAUUCGCUUGAAUAUCUCAGCAUGGAAUAAUAGAAUAGGACUUUGGUCUUAUUUUGUUGGUUUCCGAGACCGAAGUAAUGAUUAAUAGGGACAGUUGGGGGCAUUCGUAUUUCAUUGUCAGAGGUGAAAUUCUUGGAUUUAUGAAAGACGAACUUCUGCGAAAGCAUUUGCCAAGGAUGUUUUCAUUA
This 388-nucleotide ribosomal RNA is filed under the name Ctenophora sp. (in: diatoms). RNAcentral's name for it is "Ctenophora sp. (in: Bacillariophyta) partial small subunit ribosomal RNA". It matches the Rfam family "Eukaryotic small subunit ribosomal RNA", at positions 582 to 975 of the family's 1831-position model. The record is from RNAcentral. Lineage: Eukaryota; Bacillariophyta; Fragilariophyceae; Fragilariales; Fragilariaceae.